Molecule: ribosomal RNA, 513 nt
Filed under: uncultured bacterium
Lineage: Bacteria
Description: bacterial SSU rRNA
Rfam family: Bacterial small subunit ribosomal RNA
Source: RNAcentral
GAUGAACGCUAGCGAUAGGCCUAACACAUGCAAGUCGAGGGGCAUCACAUGAAGUAGCAAUACGGAUGGUGGCGACCGGCGCACGGGUGAGUAACACGUAUGCAACCUGCCUUCAACAAGGGGAUAACCCGUUGAAAGACGGACUAAUACCCUAUAACACAGGGGUCCCGCAUGGGAAUAUUUGUUAAAGGACAACCGGUUGAAGAUGGGCAUGCGUUCCAUUAGCUAGUUGGCGGGGUAAGGCCCACCAAGGCAACGAUGGAUAGGGGAACUGAGAGGUUUACCCCCACACUGGUACUGAGACACGGACCAGACUCCUACGGGAGGCAGCAGUGAGGAAUAUUGGUCAAUGGACGCAAGUCUGAACCAGCCACGUCGCGUGAAGGAAGACGGCCCUACGGGUUGUAAACUUCUUUUGCAAGGGAAUAAAGUGGGCCACGUGUGGCCUUUUGCAAGUACCUUGCGAAUAAGGAUCGGCUAACUCCGUGCCAGCAGCCGCGGUAAUUACUGACU